RNAcentral lists this ribosomal RNA (480 nucleotides) under Branchiura sowerbyi. RNAcentral's name for it is "partial 16S ribosomal RNA". It matches the Rfam family "Bacterial large subunit ribosomal RNA", at positions 1829 to 2597 of the family's 2925-position model. The record is from RNAcentral. Lineage: Eukaryota; Metazoa; Annelida; Clitellata; Tubificida; Naididae.
UGCCACAUGACAUUCAUAUAUGGUACACCCUGCCCAGUGAAGCAUUUUCAACGGCCGCGGUAUCCUAACCGUGCAAAGGUAGCAUAAUCAUUUGCCUAUUAAUUGUAGGCUAGUAUGAAAGGAUAAACGUAAUUAAAGCUGUCUCUAUUAGACCCGUAAAAUCUAAUAUUCAAGUGAAGAAGCUCGAAUAAAAUCGUAAGACAAGAAGACCCUAUAGAGCUUUAUCUCAAAUACACAACCUAAGUGCCUAAGAUUCGGUUGGGGCGACCAGGGAAUAAUUAUCAUCCCUAAUUUACAAGACUCACAAGUCCCUCUCAAGAUCCUUUUCAAGAUCACAGAAUCAAGCUACCUUAGGGAUAACAGGCUAAUUCCCCUAGAGAGUCCUUAUCAACAGGGGAGGUUGGCACCUCGAUGUUGGCUUAGGAUUUCCUCAUGAUGCAGCAAUCAUGAUUAGAUGGUUUGUUCAACCAUUAAUAUCCU